Molecule: long non-coding RNA, 1950 nt
Organism: Orcinus orca (killer whale)
Lineage: Eukaryota; Metazoa; Chordata; Mammalia; Artiodactyla; Delphinidae
Exons: 2
Source: RefSeq, a predicted model, not a curated record
ACAAACAAUAUCAAUAAUUAUAUUAAAUCUGAAUUAUCUAAACACCCUAAUCAAAAGGCAGAAAUUGAAAGACUGCAUAAAAAAGCAAAGUCCAAUCCUGUCUACAAGAGACACAACGCUGAUUCAAAAACACAAAUAAAUGGAAAGUACAAUUUUGGGAGAAGAUAGUCUUUGCAAAUAGUAACCCAAAGAGAGCUAGAGAGCUGUAUGGGGUUGAACAGCAUUCCCCCCAAAUUUCAUGUCUACUCAGAAUCUGAAUAUGACCUCAUUUGGGAAUAGAGUCUUUGAAGAUGUAAUCAAGAUAAGACAAGGUCAUACUGAAUUAAGAUGAGCUCUAAUCCAAUGAUUGAUGUACUGAUAAGAAAAUAGAAAUUUGGACACAAACACGCAGAGAGAACGCCAUGUGAUGAUGGAGACAGAGAUCUGAGUGAUGCGUCUACAGGCCAAGGAACAUCAAAUAUUACCGGCAAUUAGCAAAUACCAGGAACAGGCAGGGAAACAUCCUUCCCUUGAGAAUCCUAGAGCCUUGAAAGAAAACAUGACCCUGACAACACCUUGAUUUCAGAGUUCUAGCCUCCAGAACUGUGACAGAAUCAAUUUCUGUUGUUUUAAGCUCCCCAGUUUAGAUAUCAUCAGAGACAAAAUGGGACAUUUCAUAAUGAUAAAAAGGGUCCAUCUGUCAGAAAGAUGUAACACUUAAAAUGUAAAUGCACUUACAAUAGAACUCCAAGAUACAUGAAGCUAGAGAAUUCCCUGGUGGCCCAGUGGUCAGCACUAGGUGCUUCCACUGCUGGGACCCGGGUUCAAUCCCUGGUCAGUGAAAAAAUACAUGAAGCUAAAACUGACAGGUUUAAAAGGAGAAAUAUACAACUCAACAUAUACAGUUGUAGAUUUCAAGACCCCAUUUUAAAUAUUUAAUAGAACAACUAGUCAUAAAAUGAGCAAAACAUGAUCAGUACUAUCAACAAAUGCACCCUAACUAGUAUAUAUAGAAUACACCACCCAAUGACUGGAGAAUACACAUUCUUUUCAAGAACACAUGGAACAUUUACAGGAAAAACGACAUGCUAUGCCAUAAAAGUAUAAAAGUCUCAAUAAAUAAAAAGGAUUGAAAUCAUGCAAAGUACGAUCUCUGAAGGUAUUGUUGUCCCUUACAUCUGUCACCCCAACCCAGAAUUGCAGCUGCGGAGACUGUGGGAAUUUGUGCUCCUCCAGUUAAAAUUCCUCUCUCUGAAUCCAGUACAAUCCAAGCUUCCCCAGGAACAGAAGCUCUGCGAGGGCAGGGACUUUGUCUUGUGUCCUCCAUGCCUCCAGCGAUGUCUAGAACAAGGAUUUGUUAAAUAUCGAAUGAGCAGUUCAUGCCUUGAGAAGAAGGCAUUUCCUGUGUUCCAGAGUCUCUGUUUCAACCACACACCCAUGCUGCUAGAAAUACCAACACAUCAGUCAUCGUAAUCUUAGCAUUAAUAAGUUCAUUCAAAUGGAAAAUACUUUUGUCCUAGUUUUGAGAAAUAUUUGGAUGGACAUAAAGAUGAGAAAGUCAAGGUGCCUUCCUCCGAGGACUUCACAACCUAGUCCGUCGAUUUUGGUGUCCUUCGGCUGCACGAAUGAGCUGGGUGAGAACAGCAGAGUGCGACACUGGCGGAGCAGACUGGGCAAUCCCUUCGCAGUUGGGGCGGGAUUAGAAGCGGAUUCAACAACGGACGCAUAUUUCAGGUAUGGUUCGAGUACUUUUUUUAUACUUUUAACUAUAGGUUCUGACUGUGCUUCCCUUUUACAAUUGUUUUUUAGAUGCAUAUGUUUGUAUGUGUACACAUGAAUGUGCAUAAUAAUUAUUAUUAUGGAUAUUUCGGACAUCAUACAGUACAGAAAUUUUUGAAGCAGAUGUUCACUUUGUAAUAUCAAAGGCACGAAAGAACUUAACACAGAAAAAUAAAACAGAUAAUUUAUGCA